Molecule: ribosomal RNA, 343 nt
Filed under: uncultured bacterium
Lineage: Bacteria
Description: bacterial SSU rRNA
Rfam family: Bacterial small subunit ribosomal RNA
Source: RNAcentral
CCGCGGUAAUACGAAGGGUGCAAGCGUUAAUCGGAAUUACUGGGCGUAAAGCGCGCGUCGACCUGAAGUUAAAGGCUGUGGCUCAACCAUAGUUCGCUUUGGAAACUGUCAAACUUGAGUGCAGAAGGGGAGAGUGGAAUUCCAUGUGUAGCGGUGAAAUGCGUAGAUAUAUGGAGGAACACCGGUGGCGAAAGCGGCUCUCUGGUCUGUAACUGACGCUGAGGCUCGAAAGCGUGGGGAGCAAACAGGAUUAGAUACCCUGGUAGUCCAUGCCGUAAACGAUGAUUACUAAGCGUCGGGGGUCGAACCUCGGCACUCAAGCUAACGCGAUAAGUAAUCCGCC